CUACGGGUGGCUGCAGUGGGGAAUUUUGGACAAUGGGGGCAACCCUGAUCCAGCCAUUCCGCGUGAGUGAAGAAGGCCUUCGGGUUGUAAAGCUCUUUCGCAAGGGAAGAAAACUUACUCAAUAACACUGGGUGAGGCUGACGGUACCUUGAUAAGAAGCACCGGCUAACUACGUGCCAGCAGCCGCGGUAAUACGUAGGGUGCGAGCGUUAAUCGGAAUUACUGGGCGUGAAGCGUGGUAAGGCGGUUUGGAAAUCCCCGGGCUCAACCUGGGAACGGCGUUUGAAACUACAAGGCUAGAGUAUGGCAGAGGGGGGUAGAAUUCCACGUGUAGCAGUGAAAUGCGUAGAGAUGUGGAGGAAUACCAAUGGCGAAGGCAGCCCCCUGGGUCAAUACUGACGCUCAUGCACGAAAGCGUGGGGAGCAAACAGGAUUAGAUACCCCUGUAUC
This 450-nucleotide ribosomal RNA is filed under the name uncultured bacterium. RNAcentral describes it as "partial 16S ribosomal RNA". It matches the Rfam family "Bacterial small subunit ribosomal RNA", at positions 339 to 794 of the family's 1533-position model. The record is from RNAcentral.